AGCGAACGCUGGCGGCAGGCCUAAUACAUGCAAGUCGAACGGCCCUUCGGGGCAGUGGCGGACGGGUGAGUAACACGUGGGAACGUGCCCUUUGGUACGGAACAACUGAGGGAAACUUCAGCUAAUACCGUAUGUGCCCUUCGGGGGAAAGAUUUAUCGCCAUUGGAGCGGCCCGCGUUGGAUUAGCUAGUUGGUGGGGUAAAGGCCCACCAAGGCUACGAUCCAUAGCUGGUCUGAGAGGAUGAUCAGCCACACUGGGACUGAGACACGGCCCAGACUCCUACGGGAGGCAGCAGUAGGGAAUCUUGCGCAAUGGGCGAAAGCCUGACGCAGCCAUGCCGCGUGAAUGGUGAAGGUCUUAGGAUUGUAAAAUUCUUUCACCGGGGAAGAUAAUGACGGUACCCGGAGAAGAAGCCCCGGCUAACUUCGUGCCAGCCGCCGCGGUAA
This 447-nucleotide ribosomal RNA is filed under the name uncultured bacterium. RNAcentral describes it as "partial 16S ribosomal RNA". It matches the Rfam family "Bacterial small subunit ribosomal RNA", at positions 29 to 523 of the family's 1533-position model. The record is from RNAcentral.